Molecule: ribosomal RNA, 253 nt
Filed under: uncultured bacterium
Lineage: Bacteria
Description: partial 16S ribosomal RNA
Rfam family: Bacterial small subunit ribosomal RNA
Source: RNAcentral
UACGUAGGGGGCAAGCGUUAUCCGGAUUUACUGGGUGUAAAGGGAGCGUAGGCGGCAAGGUAAGCCAGAAGUGAAAGCCCGUGGCUCAACUGCGGGACUGCUUUUGGAACUAUCUAGCUAGAUUGCAGGAGAGGUAAGUGGAAUUCCUAGUGUAGCGGUGAAAUGCGUAGGUAUUGGGAGGAACACCAGUGGCGAAGGCGGCUUACUGGACUGUAAAUGACGCUGAGGCUCGAAAGUGUGGGGAGCAAACAGG